Molecule: ribosomal RNA, 253 nt
Filed under: uncultured bacterium
Lineage: Bacteria
Description: partial 16S ribosomal RNA
Rfam family: Bacterial small subunit ribosomal RNA
Source: RNAcentral
UACGUAGGGGGCUAGCGUUGUCCGGAAUCAUUGGGCGUAAAGAGCGUGUAGGCGGCCCGAUAAGUCCGCUGUGAAAGUCCAGGGCUCAACCCUGGGAUGCCGGUGGAUACUGUCGGGCUCGAGUCCGGAAGAGGAGUGUGGAAUUCCUGGUGUAGCGGUGAAAUGCGCAGAUAUCAGGAGGAACACCGGUGGCGAAGGCGGGUCUCUGGGCCGAUACUGACGCUGAGGAGCGAAAGCGUGGGGAGCGAACAGG